This 83-nucleotide transfer RNA is filed under the name Capronia coronata CBS 617.96. It matches the Rfam family "tRNA". Rfam says of the family: Transfer RNA (tRNA) molecules are approximately 80 nucleotides in length. Their secondary structure includes four short double-helical elements and three loops (D, anti-codon, and T loops). The record is from Rfam by way of RNAcentral. Lineage: Eukaryota; Fungi; Ascomycota; Eurotiomycetes; Chaetothyriales; Herpotrichiellaceae.
AGUCCUUUGGUGUAGUGGUAUCACAUCUCCUUUACAAUGUGAAAUUUCGGAGAAGGUCAUGGGUUCGAAACCCAUAGGGACUA